Molecule: unclassified non-coding RNA, 253 nt
Filed under: uncultured Pleosporales
Lineage: Eukaryota; Fungi; Ascomycota; Dothideomycetes; Pleosporales
Description: sequence contains 5.8S rRNA gene
Source: RNAcentral
GAACGCACAUUGCGCCCCUUGGUAUUCUUCCAUGGGGCAUGCCUGUUCGAGCGUCAUUUGUACCCUCAAGCUCUGCUUGGUGUUGGGUGUUUGCCCACUCCCUGGUGUUUGGACUCGCCUUAAAGCAAUUGGCAGCCAGUGUUUUGGUAUUGAAGCGCAGCACAUUUUGCGAUUCUAGCCUGAAAUACUAGCAUCCAGCAAGUCAUUUUCACUUUUGACCUCGGAUCAGGUAGGGAUACCCGCUGAACUUAAG